GGCCUCGUAGCUCAGCUGGAUAGAGCACCGGACUUCUAAUCCGACGGUCGCAGGUUCGAAUCCUGCCGAGGUCGCCA
Molecule: transfer RNA, 77 nt
Filed under: Ahrensia marina
Lineage: Bacteria; Pseudomonadati; Pseudomonadota; Alphaproteobacteria; Hyphomicrobiales; Ahrensiaceae
Also listed under: 4 other names
Description: tRNA-Arg
Rfam family: tRNA
About the family: Transfer RNA (tRNA) molecules are approximately 80 nucleotides in length. Their secondary structure includes four short double-helical elements and three loops (D, anti-codon, and T loops). Further hydrogen bonds mediate the characteristic L-shaped molecular structure. tRNAs have two regions of fundamental functional importance: the anti-codon, which is responsible for specific mRNA codon recognition, and the 3' end, to which the tRNAs corresponding amino acid is attached (by aminoacyl-tRNA synthetases). tRNAs cope with the degeneracy of the genetic code in two manners: having more than one tRNA (with a specific anti-codon) for a particular amino acid; and 'wobble' base-pairing, i.e. permitting non-standard base-pairing at the 3rd anti-codon position.
Source: RNAcentral